RNAcentral lists this small RNA (853 nucleotides) under Pongo abelii (Sumatran orangutan). RNAcentral's name for it is "retained intron". Lineage: Eukaryota; Metazoa; Chordata; Mammalia; Primates; Hominidae. The record is from RNAcentral.
CUGCUUUCUCUUUCUUUUAAACCCUUUAACAGAACCAUUCACAUUGGGAAUACCAUGAUUUGCGUUCCACCGUCCCUCGUUCUCUUCCUGUUCAGUGGUGCAGCUGCUGUGGGAAGACGUGGACUGGUUAAUCCAUAAGCAGAGAGCAUCAGGCUCUUGGAUCCCUGGGAACCAGCUGCCUCCCUCACUCUCAGGGUCCCCGUUUUCCAUCUGGCCUUCCUUGGGCUUUGAACAAGGCAUCAAAGGCCCUUGGAAGAGCACUAGUCAGUGGCGGGGGUCUUAGAACCCACAGUUCUCCUCCUCUGGGGAGGUGGUCGAUUGAGUAGAUACCUUCUGGUGCCUGUGGGCCCCAUCGAAAGCCCCCAGUGCCAUUUGCUACAUGAGGUCACUGUACUGAGAGUGACAGAGUAAUAUACAGGAGCAGUGUGGGCAGCCAGAGAGUCUGGGUGUAAACUCAGUUUGGAUACAGAUAUGGAGGUGGAAGAGUGUUCUGGCCUCAUGGAUGCCUCCAGCUGCUACAGCCAUUGCUGGCCUCUUCCUUGCAGCGGCCGUGGAGCCCUCCCAGCAGUGCUGUCGAAGCAAUCACACUGCCUCAUCUUGUGCUCACUCUUUCCCCUUAGACACAUCUGACCUUCGGGAAGGAGUUCACAGAAGCGGUGGAAGCCAAACAGGUGGCUCAGCAGGAAGCAGAGAGGGCCAGAUUUGUGGUGGAAAAGGCUGAGCAACAGAAAAAGGCGGCCAUCAUCUCUGCUGAGGGCGACUCCAAGGCAGCUGAGCUGAUUGCCAACUCACUGGCCACUGCAGGGGAUGGCCUGAUCGAGCUGCGCAAGCUGGAAGCUGCGGAGGACAUCGC